GUGAGUCAUCGAGUCUUUGAACGCAUCUUGCGCUCCUUGGUAUUCCGAGGAGCAUGCCUGUUUGAGUCUCAUCAAGUUCUCAACCAUACCUCGGUGUGGCUUGGAUCUGGGGGUUUUUGCAUGGCUUCAAAGAAAGUCGGCUACCCUCGAAAGCCAUUAGCGGUGUCCGAGUACCUUUGGUGUGAUAAAUAUCUAUGCCUUGGUGUAUACGAUGCAUGCUGCUUCUGAACUUGCGUCUUGCGCAUUUUAUUGACAAAUUUGACCUCAAAUCAGGUAGGAUUACCCGCUGAACUUAAGCAUAUCAAUAAGCGGAGG
RNAcentral lists this ribosomal RNA (315 nucleotides) under uncultured fungus. Its description in RNAcentral is "eukaryotic LSU rRNA". The stretch from base 1 to 71 matches the Rfam family "5.8S ribosomal RNA", at positions 84 to 154 of the family's 154-position model. The record is from RNAcentral. Lineage: Eukaryota; Fungi.